Molecule: ribosomal RNA, 376 nt
Filed under: uncultured bacterium
Lineage: Bacteria
Description: bacterial SSU rRNA
Rfam family: Bacterial small subunit ribosomal RNA
Source: RNAcentral
GACGUAGGGGGCGAGCGUUGUCCGGAAUUACUGGGCGUAAAGAGCACGUAGGCGGAUAUUUAAGUCUGAUGUGAAAGACCGGGGCUCAACCCCGGGGUUGCAUAAGAAACUGGAUAUCUUGAGGGCAGGAGAGGACAGUAGAAUUCCUGGUGUAGCGGUGAAAUGCGUAGAAAUCAGGAGGAAUACCGGUGGCGAAGGCGACUGUCUGGACUGACCCUGACGCUGAGGUGCGAAAGCGUGGGUAGCAAACAGGAUUAGAUACCCUGGUAGUCCACGCCGUAAACGAUGGAUACUAGGUGUGGGAGGUAUCGACCCCUUCCGUGCCGCAGCAAACGCAAUAAGUAUCCCGCCUGGGGAGUACGGUCGCAAGGCUGAA